GCUUAGCUCAGCUGGUUAGAGCAUGGUGCUGAUAAUGCGAAGGUUGUGGGUUCGAUCCCCGUAUGGGUCA
Molecule: non-coding RNA, 70 nt
Organism: Podarcis lilfordi (Lilford's wall lizard)
Lineage: Eukaryota; Metazoa; Chordata; Lepidosauria; Squamata; Lacertidae
Source: the annotation of a GenBank genome assembly